Phragmites australis (common reed) is the source of this 1154-nucleotide RNA transcript. RefSeq lists it as uncharacterized. The transcript has 8 exons. NCBI's taxonomy places the organism in Eukaryota, Viridiplantae, Streptophyta, Magnoliopsida, Poales, Poaceae. The record is from RefSeq and is a predicted model, not a curated record.
ACCGUCGCCUUCGCCUCGUCACCAAACCGCCGCAGCGUCUAUACCCUGGCCUCUCUCGUCUUGGCCAAAAAUCCCCUCCAGAGUCCACCCCACCCAUCCAUCCGGCCGGCGCAAUCAACCCGGCCGCACGCGAGGACCACCGCCGAACCCUAGCCCCCCACCCGCCGUCCCACCGCGAGAUCGCGGGAUCGCCCGCCGCCCCGCUCUCCUUCGUCCGCCGCUUGGAUCCGAGAUGGAAUCACUGUCAAUCACUGCUGAAGCUAUUGCUUUUACUGAGAAAAAGAUGGACAUGACUUUGGAGGAUAUUAUCAAGAUGUCAAAGAAAAAGAAUCCUGGGGGCAAGAAACCCCCUAGACAGCCGAUAAAAAAACGCCCGUUCCAGAAUGGCAACGCUAAUCAAGAGAAUGCCAAGGUUCAACGGUUUAUAGAAUCUAGAUCAUCCAUAAGACAAGGGUUUCUUGCACAAAGGAGGUCAAAUCUUGGUGGAAAUCAGUUUCCCGCUACAAAGCAGGCUGCGAAGAAGGCUGCUGCUAUGCCAAUGCGCAACAGGGCUGUCAGAUGGAACAGACCAAGUGCCAGUACCUUAGUGCAGAGGAGGCCUGUGGGUGAUGCUUUUCAGAGUGGCAAGGGCAAGGAGACCCAGAACCAGGUACCAAGGACAAUGGAUGCACUCUUUGCACAAAUGAAAGCGCAACGGAUGAAGAUCACACCACAGCAGCAGAAAUAUCCAGCUCCUGGCCAUCAGUUCAACCAGCAGCGACGUGUUCAGCAGCAACGUCCAGGCAGAGGAUAUGGUGGCCGGAAUGUUGGUAACCAAUGAGUCCAACUGCAUUCGUCUGCCGCAUCAAAGCCCAUUAUCUUCACUAGUUUUAUGGAAGGCAGAAGGCCCCCCUGGAAAUGCUGAUUUGGCUGUGUUUUGUUUCUCGACUUGUGGGCAGGUUCUUAACUGAGGUUUAUAUGCAGUCCUGUAGUUGCUUGUUUCCGUUUCAGCAUGUAUGAAUGUGGACUUGUUGGUCUGGACCCGUGACCUGUCAGUAUAUGUUGGAUGGUGUUCUGUGGCUUGGUGGUCUUUGCUGAUGUACCAUUUCAGUGUAAAUGUAGGGGCAACCCUAAGAUCCUCUGAUAUGAGCGAGUGAAGUUACAGGUGAACAGUA